UACAGAGGCCCCAAGCGUUAGUCGGAAUCACUGGGCUUAAAGGGUGCGUAGGCGGAUGUGUAAGUGUCUUGUGAAAGCCCCGGGCUCAACCCGGGAACCGCAGGGCAUACUGCAUGUCUUGAGGAAACUAGAGGCCGGUAGAACGAUCGGUGGAGCGGUGGAAUGCGUAGAGAUCGAUCGGAAUGCCAAUGGUGAAGACAGCCGGCUGGGGUUUUCCUGACGCUGAGGCACGAAAGCGUGGGGAUCAAAC
RNAcentral lists this ribosomal RNA (250 nucleotides) under uncultured bacterium. RNAcentral's name for it is "partial 16S ribosomal RNA". It matches the Rfam family "Bacterial small subunit ribosomal RNA", at positions 524 to 773 of the family's 1533-position model. The record is from RNAcentral.